Long non-coding RNA from Serinus canaria (Common canary), 1020 nucleotides. RefSeq lists it as uncharacterized. The transcript has 3 exons. The record is from RefSeq and is a predicted model, not a curated record. NCBI's taxonomy places the organism in Eukaryota, Metazoa, Chordata, Aves, Passeriformes, Fringillidae.
AGUGAGUGUUGGCAGAGAAAGGGAGGACUGGAGGAAAAGGGCCACAGCUGCUGCAAAGGGCAGUCAUUAGUCCCACAUGUGCUUCUGAGUGCUCCCUUGGCCAAAAUGAGAACCCAGCAUGAGAAAUGAACCUGAACUCCACAGCUUCCUGCAUUUGUGAGAUUUAUUCAAAGUGCUAGCAGAGAGGAUGAAGACUGCAGUAUAAGUAAGAAGAAUAAAAUAACAGCUUUUUUUGAGGUUGAAUGAAAAAUGGCUUUUUUACAGAACACUUUUUUUCUGAUGGGAGUUGAGUGGCUUUUUCUUGUGCCUCCAAGCUCUUUUUACCAUUUUAAAUAGCUAAAAACAGAGCCUAAUAACCCAAAGUUGAUACCUAUUGCUGUCAAAUUCAGACACUGCACAAACUGAGAAACCAGGGCACAGUGAAUAUUUAAUGCAAUACAAGGAUGGAUAUAACUUCUGCAACAGUGACUGAAAAGAAUCUUUUCUACCUGAGUACCAUUGGUAAAGUAAUUUGGGUGUGGAAAACAUAGAUUCAACCUCCUACAGCACAGGAAUGAAUCGAUUCUAGAUGUACUUUAUUGUAUAAAUAUCCAGCCAAGCCCACAAUUGGAACAGAGCCACUGUUUAGGCCAUACUUGAUGAGAAGGUCUGGCAGAAGGGACUCACAACCAGGUUUUACUCCUGUGUUUCAUGGUGUUGCUGUUCCAAUGGAUGGAGCUGUCAAGAGAGAUUAUGGCCAGACUUUCACUGCCCUUCAGGUACCAUGAAUCCACAAGGCCUGCAAUCUUCAACAGGAGCUGGUAUUUAAAAUCCAGUAAAAUAGGAGUUAGGCACCAAUGAAGUUCCAGCUGAGCCCUCUCAGUGGAUGUUACAUGCAACUAAAGGGUUAACCAUUCAAGGUGGUGACUUCAGGGUUAUAUAUAGAAGACUUUUCUCAGCAGUUGCAAAAUGGUGUGGCCACAAAUGGACCACAAGCCCACACUGGAGGCAACUGUCUGCAAUCAUGCACAUGAAAUGAAC